RNAcentral lists this ribosomal RNA (773 nucleotides) under uncultured Neocallimastigales. Its description in RNAcentral is "partial large subunit ribosomal RNA". It matches the Rfam family "Eukaryotic large subunit ribosomal RNA", at positions 24 to 643 of the family's 3401-position model. Lineage: Eukaryota; Fungi; Neocallimastigomycota; Neocallimastigomycetes; Neocallimastigales. The record is from RNAcentral.
UAUCUCUGUAGAGUCUGCAUAUCAAUAAGCGGAGGAAAAGAAACUAACAAGGAUUCCCCUAGUAACGGCGAGUGAAGCGGGAAGAGCUCAAAUUUGAAAUCUUCAAGGUUCUGACCUUGACGAAUUGUAGUUUAAAGAAGUGUUUUCGGUUAGAGGAGUAGUAAAAGUUCUUUGGAAUAGGACAUCAUAGAGGGUGAGAAUCCCGUAUUUGACUAUUCUUUCUAGCUUUGUGAUACACUUUCAAAGAGUCGGAUUGUUUGGGAAUGCAGUCCAAAAUGGGUGGUAAAUUUCAUCUAAAGCUAAAUAUUGGCGAGAGACCGAUAGCGAACAAGUACCGUGAGGGAAAGAUGAAAAGAACUUUGAAAAGAGAGUUAGACAGUACGUGAAAUUGUCAAAAGGGAAGCGUUUGACACCAGUGUUGUUUUUCCGAAAAUCAAUUAAAAAUUGAUUCAUGCCAGGUUGUAUUGACCUUAUCAGCUUGCAAUUUGGUUUUGGGUCUCUUUUUGAUGCACUUUUCGGUUAACAAGUCAACAUCAAUUUCCUUUGCUGUAAAGAGGUAAGAGGAGGGUGGCUUCAAUUUCGGUUGAAGUGUUUAUAGCCUUUUAUCUCUGCAGUCGGGGAGAUUGAGGUCUGCAGCGUAGAUCCUUCGGGGCUAGAUACAUUAUGCUAAGUUAUAGCUUUUCAUAGACAACUUGUUGGCUAUGUUUAGUCAUGUAGCUUACUCGUAAGUGCUAUUUUACCUACGCUUAGGAUGUUGAGCGCAUGUCUCUCUC